Hirundo rustica (Barn swallow) is the source of this 989-nucleotide long non-coding RNA. RefSeq lists it as uncharacterized. NCBI's taxonomy places the organism in Eukaryota, Metazoa, Chordata, Aves, Passeriformes, Hirundinidae. The transcript has 3 exons. The record is from RefSeq and is a predicted model, not a curated record.
CCAACAUCCUCGGGGCCUUUCCCAAAUGGUGACUAGAGAGCAGAGGAGGCUGCAGAGGCAAGGAAUAACACAGGAGAACUGGCUGACUUGCAAGAAGGCAGAGGCAUUCAUGUUUGAGGGGCCAUGUCUCUGAGGGUGACCAGUGUGUUCGAGACUAGAGUCUAAAUAAGCUAGGAAGAUAAAUUCAUCCUACCAAGACAGCAGCAAGCCCUGCUUUGCUCCAUCAUAUAUUGCUAAUGUCUUCUGUACAAAGACAAGAGAUAUUGGUGAAUCCCAUCUGGCAAGAAGAAAUAAUUGUAACUAAGCUUUAUCUAAAUGAAGACAGUUUUACAUCUCAUUUAAAGGAACUCACUGUCAAAACAGUCUGGCAUAGAAGAGGAUGAACAAUUAAUAACCUGGAUUACAGCAGAGUUUCAGUAUCUUAUUACCUGCAUUAAGGGGCAGGGUGGAAGAUUACUUUGACAUCACUUUUGGAAACACCAUCUCAUCAGGGAUUCUGAAGUCCCUACUCUGUUUUUGUCAUAUUAUAGAAAUUACAGAGGUCAGGUGCUGGCUCCAUUUGCAGCUCAGUUGGCAUUUGUGUGGCAAGGAGAUGUGGAGUUUAAGACUAUCUGAUUGGUAAAGGUCUGGCAUGUCUCCUAUUUGAUCUUUUAAUUAGGAGAAAUUCAUCCUAGUCUUUCUUAAAACGCCUACUCAUUGAUUUUCUUUUGGCCAUAUUCUAAGGCCUUUUCUUUGGGUAUAUUUAUAAUUUUCUAUUAAAAAAAUUUCACAUUUCAGCACAAGGAACAAAUUUAUCUAGCAUUAUUUAUAGCUUUAAAAAUGUGAUGCAGAAUAUAGUCUAAAAUUCCUGAAUAUUUAAGCUUCUGCCUUAUUUUUCACUCAGGAGUAACAAAUCCUGCUUACUGGUUCAGAAGGUAUUAUUGUCCUUGACGUUUAUGAACUGUGCUCCAGAGAAAUCAAAUAAUAUAUAAUAAUAUCAAAAUAAAAUA